Molecule: long non-coding RNA, 1381 nt
Organism: Esox lucius (northern pike)
Lineage: Eukaryota; Metazoa; Chordata; Actinopteri; Esociformes; Esocidae
Source: Ensembl
ACUGUUAGGUGCUUGGGAAAUAAUAUUUAAAAAUGGCUUUGCUGUACCUCACUAACUGUUUUUAAAAAAAAUAUUUUGUCAACAACUGCAGGAUACCAAAUAAAAGUCAUGCAGCCAACCAAAAGAACAGCUUGGAUAUUUGCACUCUUUUUGAUAAUUUUUAUGGAAGAUACACUAUAUUUCACAAUACAUGGAAUUCUAUUUAGCUACUCUAGCUACAUUUGAUGAUCUGCAUUUUAGGAGUCAAACUUAAGACCAGUUGAAAGGCAGAGAGGCUGUAGUUAAAACUAGACAAGGGAGGCUGUUGUUACACUGCUUCUUGUUCUGUCUUAAACCUUUACCACCAAAAAAUCUCUGUCUUUGCAUACAGUACAUACAUAGAUUAUGUAUUUGCUCACCCACUGAGGUAAAACUUCAAGAUCAACUGUCUGUGGCUGGUCAUUCCAUAUUAUUAAUUUAGUUAGUCUAUAACUAGGCUUCAUCCUAGAUCCCGCCUAUACGCACCUAUAUAUUAAUCAACUAUACAGCCAUAUAUUAAUGUUAUGUUUUCCAUGGUGACUAACCAUAUGUCGGGGGUUCAGUCACAACUUGUCCGUUUUUUUGGGGGUGGGCUGGUUUAUGUUUAGAUUUUUUUCAGCCAUCUUCUCAGCAACUUGUUUUCUUGGGGCUCAUCUGCUGUUGUUUUCAUCUCUUCUGGGCCAGUAAUUACAGAAACAUAUCAUUUGUCUGGACAAUAGUACUGACUCAGGAUCAGCACUCCUACUGUGCGAUUGCAGGCCCUGAUGAAUUGUCCAUUUAUAAUUCUGUUGUUCUGUGCCGCAUUCAUUUUUUUUGUAUUCAAUUGAAUGGUAACGGUGCUGUACUGAACGGACGGUUGAAAGAACGGAGAGGGCCUGGGGGUUGGGGACAGUCAGCAUGGCAACUUGAAACGUGUUGUUCAGUACAAAACCGAUGCGAAACAUAGAAAACGUUCAAUUGAACUGGCCGCACCUCUGCUCUCUCGUCUGUCUCACUCUGCUUACUUUCUGUGUCACUCUUCCUGCUUCCUGUUUCAGACUCAGACUUCCAGGCCUUCACGGGCUGAUCUGAUUGGCCGUUGCCCAUCUGACCCCUGAGCCUGAGGUCAAAUAUCAAAUCUCCCAUGGUGCACCUUGUCUCUCAGCUCCGCCCACAGCGGCUUAAUGUUCCAGCUGAUCAACACUUUUCAAAGUUUUAUUUGGAAAAAAGAAAAAGAAAAGCAAACUGAUAAAAUCUAAUGUAUGUACUGUGUAUGUUUGAGUGUGUAUAUAGUUAAAUAAGGACUGGAUUCUUUGUCAAGUAUUUUGAGUCACAAACAACUAAUCCACAUUAAAUCAUUUACAUUUUAAAGUGUCUUAGAAAG